GACGUAGGGCGCGAGCGUUGUCCGGAUUUAUUGGGCGUAAAGAGCGUGUAGGCGGCCUGACAGGUCUGCUGUGAAAACUCGAGGCUCAACCUCGAGAUGUCGGCGGAAACCGUCUGGCUAGAGUCCGGAAGAGGAGAGUGGAAUUCCUGGUGUAGCGGUGAAAUGCGCAGAUAUCAGGAAGAACACCUAUGGCGAAGGCAGCUCUCUGGGACGGUACUGACGCUGAGACGCGAAAGCGUGGGGAGCGAACAGG
This 253-nucleotide ribosomal RNA is filed under the name uncultured bacterium. RNAcentral's name for it is "partial 16S ribosomal RNA". It matches the Rfam family "Bacterial small subunit ribosomal RNA", at positions 524 to 776 of the family's 1533-position model. The record is from RNAcentral.